Molecule: ribosomal RNA, 117 nt
Filed under: Danio rerio (zebrafish)
Lineage: Eukaryota; Metazoa; Chordata; Actinopteri; Cypriniformes; Danionidae
Source: RNAcentral
UGUCACAGCCAUGUCACCCUGUAGCCCAAGACUUGUUACUCACUGAAGCUAAGCAGGGCUGAGCCUGGUCAGUACCUAGAUGGGAGACCACUAGGGAACACUAGGUUGCUGUUGGAA